RNAcentral lists this ribosomal RNA (460 nucleotides) under uncultured bacterium. Its description in RNAcentral is "partial 16S ribosomal RNA". It matches the Rfam family "Bacterial small subunit ribosomal RNA", at positions 338 to 795 of the family's 1533-position model. The record is from RNAcentral.
CCUACGGGUGGCAGCAGUGAGGAAUAUUGGUCAAUGGGCGUAAGUCUGAACCAGCCAAGUCGCGUGCAGGAUGACGGUUCUAUGGAUUGUAAACCUCUUUUAUAAGGGAAUAAAGUGUGGGACGUGUACUGUCUUGUAUGUAUCUUAUGAAUAAGGAUCGGCUAACUCCGUGCCAGCAGCCGCGGUAAUACGGAGGAUCCGAGCGUUAUCCGGAUUUAUUGGGUUUAAAGGGUGCGUAGGCGGCCUUUUAAGUUAGCGGUGAAAGUCUGUGGCUCAACCAUAGAAUUGCCGUUGCAACUGGGAGGCUUGAGGAUGGUUGAGGCAGGCGGAAUGUGUGGUGUAGCGGUGAAAUGCUUAGAUAUCACGCAGAACCCCGAUUGCGAAGGCAGCCUGCCAAGCCAUGACUGACGCUGAUGCACGAAAGCGUGGGGAUCAAACAGGAUUAGAUACCCGAGUAGUC